GACGAACGCUGGCGGCGUGCUUAACACAUGCAAGUCGAACGGAAAGGCCCUGCUUUUGUGGGGUGCUCGAGUGGCGAACGGGUGAGUAACACGUGAGUAACCUGCCCUUGACUUUGGGAUAACUUCAGGAAACUGGGGCUAAUACCGGAUAGGAGCUCCUGCUGCAUGGUGGGGGUUGGAAAGUUUCGGCGGUUGGGGAUGGACUCGCGGCUUAUCAGCUUGUUGGUGGGGUAGUGGCUUACCAAGGCUUUGACGGGUAGCCGGCCUGAGAGGGUGACCGGCCACAUUGGGACUGAGAUACGGCCCAGACUCCUACGGGAGGCAGCAGUGGGGAAUAUUGCACAAUGGGCGGAAGCCUGAUGCAGCAACGCCGCGUGCGGGAUGACGGCCUUCGGGUGUAAACCGCUUUCGCCUGUGACGAAGCGUGAGUGACGGUAAUGGGUAAAGAAGCACCGGCUAACUACGUG
Molecule: ribosomal RNA, 467 nt
Filed under: uncultured bacterium
Lineage: Bacteria
Description: partial 16S ribosomal RNA
Rfam family: Bacterial small subunit ribosomal RNA
Source: RNAcentral